UACGGGGGGGGCGAGCGUUGUUCGGAAUUACUGGGCGUAAAGGGCGCGUAGGCGGUUCGCUAAGUUGGAUGUGAAAACUCUGGGCUCAACCCAGAGCCUGCAUCCAAAACUGGCGGGCUAGAGUUCUGGAGGGGGCAGCGGAAUUCCUGGUGUAGCGGUGAAAUGCGUAGAUAUCAGGAGGAACACCGGUGGCGAAGGCGGCUACCUGGACAGAAACUGACGCUGAGGCGCGAAAGCUAGGGGAGCAAACAGG
RNAcentral lists this ribosomal RNA (253 nucleotides) under uncultured bacterium. RNAcentral describes it as "partial 16S ribosomal RNA". It matches the Rfam family "Bacterial small subunit ribosomal RNA", at positions 524 to 776 of the family's 1533-position model. The record is from RNAcentral.